UUCGCCCUACGGGGCGCAGCAGUGGGGGAUAUUGCACAAUGGGGGAAACCCUGAUGCAGCGACACCGCGUGGGUGAAGAAGCGCUUCGGCGUGUAAAGCCCUAUCAGUGGGGAAGAAAAAGGACGGUACCCAAAGAAGAAGCACCGGCUAAAUACGUGCCAGCAGCCGCGGUAAUACGUAUGGCGCAAGCGUUAUCCGGAAUGACUGGGUGUAAAGGGAGCGUAGACGGGUGUACAAGUCUGAUGUGAAAGCCCACGGCUCACCUGUG
RNAcentral lists this ribosomal RNA (268 nucleotides) under uncultured bacterium. Its description in RNAcentral is "partial 16S ribosomal RNA". It matches the Rfam family "Bacterial small subunit ribosomal RNA", at positions 333 to 617 of the family's 1533-position model. The record is from RNAcentral.